CAUACCAAUAUUAAUAAGUAUAAGAGAGAAUAUUUUUGGUAACAUUAAUAAUUGGUCAAUUGGUACUGGAAGAUAAAAUAUCAAUUGAGAUAUUUUUAUUACUACUUGAUAUUAUAUGUUAUAAUUAUAUAUUAUGUGUGUAUAUUUUGUGGUGGUGAUUGGAAAAGAAAGAAGAAGUGGAUAAGAAGGAAGAGUAGGUAGGAAGAGAAGGAG
This 213-nucleotide long non-coding RNA is filed under the name Lathyrus oleraceus (garden pea). Its description in RNAcentral is "Pisum sativum (pea) long non-coding RNA (PSAT_LNC033480)". Lineage: Eukaryota; Viridiplantae; Streptophyta; Magnoliopsida; Fabales; Fabaceae. The record is from RNAcentral.